GCUUUCGUGGUGUAGUGGUCAGCACGCUCGACGCGUAAUCAAGAGUUUCAUGGUUCGAGUCCCGGCGAGGGUA
This 73-nucleotide transfer RNA is filed under the name Stegodyphus mimosarum. It matches the Rfam family "tRNA". Rfam says of the family: Transfer RNA (tRNA) molecules are approximately 80 nucleotides in length. Their secondary structure includes four short double-helical elements and three loops (D, anti-codon, and T loops). Further hydrogen bonds mediate the characteristic L-shaped molecular structure. tRNAs have two regions of fundamental functional importance: the anti-codon, which is responsible for specific mRNA codon recognition, and the 3' end, to which the tRNAs corresponding amino acid is attached (by aminoacyl-tRNA synthetases). tRNAs cope with the degeneracy of the genetic code in two manners: having more than one tRNA (with a specific anti-codon) for a particular amino acid; and 'wobble' base-pairing, i.e. permitting non-standard base-pairing at the 3rd anti-codon position. The record is from Rfam by way of RNAcentral. Lineage: Eukaryota; Metazoa; Arthropoda; Arachnida; Araneae; Eresidae.